GCAUUGCUAGCUGAGUCGGUGGGGCGUAUGGCUCUUAAGCGUGUGGCUGUGGGUUCGAUCCCCAUGGAGUGCG
Leishmania major strain Friedlin is the source of this 73-nucleotide transfer RNA. It matches the Rfam family "tRNA". From Rfam's summary of the family: Transfer RNA (tRNA) molecules are approximately 80 nucleotides in length. The record is from Rfam. NCBI's taxonomy places the organism in Eukaryota, Euglenozoa, Kinetoplastea, Trypanosomatida, Trypanosomatidae.